RNAcentral lists this non-coding RNA (223 nucleotides) under Virgibacillus chiguensis. RNAcentral describes it as "T-box sequence". It matches the Rfam family "T-box leader". Rfam says of the family: Uncharged tRNA acts as the effector for transcription antitermination of genes in the T-box leader family. T-boxes are found upstream of many aminoacyl-tRNA synthetase genes and some amino acid biosynthetic genes usually in Gram-positive bacteria. The anticodon of a specific tRNA base pairs to a specifier sequence within the T-box motif, and the NCCA acceptor tail of the tRNA base pairs to a conserved bulge in the T-box antiterminator hairpin. Lineage: Bacteria; Bacillati; Bacillota; Bacilli; Caryophanales; Bacillaceae. The record is from RNAcentral.
AUGCAUACGAUGAAGGAGCCUAGUAGCAAGCUUGUCACUGUUAUUUAGAAAGCUAGGGGUGAUGUGACCUAGUACAAACAAUCUUGUGAAUUACACUUUGGAGUAUCUUAGCUUAACUCUAAGCGGAUUAGCAAACGAUAUCAUUGCUGAGAGAGGUAUCAAUAGUUACGUGUAUUACUAUUGAUGCAAUUUGGGUGGUAACACGGUUAGAAUCGUCCCUAUG